Molecule: ribosomal RNA, 257 nt
Filed under: uncultured Glomeraceae
Lineage: Eukaryota; Fungi; Glomeromycota; Glomeromycetes; Glomerales; Glomeraceae
Description: partial small subunit ribosomal RNA
Rfam family: Eukaryotic small subunit ribosomal RNA
Source: RNAcentral
AAGCUCGUAGUUGAAUUUCGGGAUCAGUACGUUGGUCGUGCCUUAGGUACGUACUGGUGUUACUGGUUCCUACCUUCUGACGAACCAUCAUGUCAUUAAUUUGGUGUGGCGGGGAAUCAGGACUGUUACUUUGAAAAAAUUAGAGUGUUUAAAGCAGGCUCGCGCUUGAAUACAUUAGCAUGGAAUAAUGAAAUAGGACGUUGAUCCUAUUUUGUUGGUUUCUAGGAUUGACGUAAUGAUUAAUAGGGAUAGUUGGG